Actinia tenebrosa (Australian red waratah sea anemone) is the source of this 3228-nucleotide long non-coding RNA. RefSeq lists it as uncharacterized. The record is from RefSeq and is a predicted model, not a curated record. NCBI's taxonomy places the organism in Eukaryota, Metazoa, Cnidaria, Anthozoa, Actiniaria, Actiniidae.
AAGGGGUGUGGUGUUUGACAGUAUGAGAGGAAAGUGAAAUAUCACAUGAUCAGAGGCAUGCUGAAACAGGUUCUCAUCUGGUGAGGAUAAAAUCCUUGGUGGAGACACUUCUUAAGAUUAUUUAACAGUAAGAAAGCAGUGAAAAUAUUCCAAAAUUGUAAGCCAUUAACUCCAUAACAGAUAUAAAAUGAAAUGAAAGCACUUCUGGAAUAUGGAAUUGGAAGUGAGCAAAGUCAAGAAGAAAAAAACGUAGAAACGAAUCGAGAUGUCAAGGAAAUCAAGGCCCGCGCGAUGAUGAUGGAAGAGAAAAAAAGACGUACCAAGUUCAUUCAUCGACAGUAGGUUUGAUCACCUGAAAAGGAAGAUUCAUCGUGGCAAGAUCGUGUGUCCAUCAAAACUUGGUAACAAUGGAAAGCAAUAGAAGCCCAAAAAAGACUAUCACCACACGGUAGCCGUGCGUUAAGCCAAAACCCUUAUACAUUGUGGAAAUAAGGCAAAACAGGAAGAUGGUUUCCUUUUGGGUUUGAUAAAUGUCAGUGAAAUAUUCGAAAUGCGGUUGACUUCUUUGCAGGAAAAUCGAACUUUGCGUACUCGAUGAUGACUCUUUUCACCUGAAAUAUCAUUAUUUUGAAACUAGAAUAGUGGAUCUAUCCAAGAAGGAGUAAUCGGAGUGGUAAGAGGCAUGAAAAAAAACAAAAAUCCUGUUCGAUUUGAGCCCAAUGUACUGGGGGCGUGUGGAGUGGUCGCCAUAGCUCUUCAUGUCCGUUUCACACCUCGCUUGUGCAUGGAAUUACUGUUCCACGCGACUGACUCACCAAAACGAAACCAAACAACUUCUGUCAAUUGAAACUAGAAUAUAUGGGGAGUAUUCCACGGACUAGUACUCUUAGAAUGUGCCUACAUUGGAAAUAUAAGGCGUAGAUAUAGGAAGAACAAACAUGGACUCACCCUCAUAACAUCAGCAUCGCGGUCUUCCAUAUGCGUUGGUAAGCCUUCUAGUCGAUGUCGACUUACUUCAAGCAAGUCUGUGGAAGGCCGAUCAAGCGGAUGCUUGACGUCGAUUUCCACCGACAUUGUGUCCUUUUCUGUUUGUCUCUUCGCUUGAUUUUGAGGCGAUUUACUCAACGAGCGAACGAGCUUCGAACGCAGCUAAGUUAUCAGACAGAGAUACGGUGAGACGCCCAAAACUGGGCACGACUUGAUGAUAUUCCAUCCGACUCUUUUCAGGGAAGUAUUUAUAAUCAGCCGACCAAUCACAGGCCAGUAUUCAUUGGGUUAUGGGUAACACACACCUUUCUCCAGACCCUAGCGAUUUCAAAUGUAUAAAUUUUUAACUUCAAAUGAAUAAAAUGAUUUGGUGGGGAAUAAUAUUGCAUUUGCAUCUAAAUUUUUCAAAAAUUUUCUGUUAAACCUUUAAGUGACCUCUAGCUGAGUUGAUAUAAACAUUAACAUAACAAAAUAUUAACUACAAAGGUCAAAUUCCGCAAGGAACAAUUAUAUUUAAUUUUAAUUUUUUAUUAUUAGCAAAGACCACUGGAAUUGUUUUUUUUUUGGUGGGUUUCACUGGUUCAAUAAUAGCAGUGAGCUAUAUCUUGCUCUUAUACUAAUGGGCAACGUGAAAGGAUGCUAGCCAAUAAUGAUUUUUUCCGAGUGACAUUGUCGUGUCAUUUUGAUAAUUGCCAUCACAUUUGCAUGAUUUACGGGGAAUUCAAAAAACUAAUUCCGCUACUUUCUACUCCCAUUGUAUUCGUGUAUUGACAUGGAUAAUAAUAAAAAUGUUUAACAUCUUAGAUCUUCCCGUGGCUCCAUAAAGGCGGAUUUUUCUUCGAAUUUACGUCAGAUUUGCAUUAUUUACUGGGAAUUCGAAAAACUAAUCCCGCUAUUUCCCCCUCCCGUGGUAUUUUUGUAUAAUGACAUGGAAAAUAAUAAAAAUGUUGGGCAUUUUAGAUCUUCGCAUGGCUCUAGAGACUCGGAUUUUUCUUCGAAUUUUCAGUUUCUUUCGCAUCAAUUUUAGUUACGCGUCAUCAUUCCUCUCACCAUUUUUUGCGAUUGGUUGUGGAUAACCUUCGAACGCAGCUCGUGCUUGUUCGUUGGUCCAGAUACUUUAUUAGAACAGGCCAAUGAUUAUGGUCAAACAGACCCUAAAGUGAUCCAGGCAGUCAGGUGAAUUAAUGAAAGGGUGAUUAAUUGACUAGCUAAUAUUUUUGCCAUUGUCUGUGUGCAAGCAUUCGUGGAGUAGGACCUAUUGAUAUGUAAACCAGAGGAGCAUUUCUAUAGAUUCUUAAAAGACUAUUUAAUGAGAAACUUUGACACCUAGUGAUUAGCUCUGUUAUGCUGACAUGUAUAAAAGAAUAGUUGCAGCAAAGACGCGGAGUCAAGAUGCAGCGCCGUAGCCACGGACCAACUUUCGGGGAAAAAUAUAAGAAAAAUAAAAUAAAAAAUGUAAGAAAAACCGAAAGCCCUCGAAAGCCGAACCAAUCAGAAAUUUGUGGCUACGGCCCUGAGAUGAUUAUGUGCGUGAUCUCUUAGAACGAAUGCACCCUUUUAAAAAUUGUCUUGAAUGCGAUGCUAACAUAUACGAAAGAAAUCCCACAAGUUCCAUCGAGGAAAAAGUGUGAUUUCUUUUGUAUCAUAUCAUGUAGUCUCGCAUCCAUCACGAUACUUUGAGAAGGAUCAAUUACCAUAGAUGAUGGGGGCCGGGAAUAUCACUCCUCAUCAUUAUCAUUUUGCCCAUCGCCGGAGACACGUACCUUUAUUCAGAUGAGGACACGUAACAUUCCGGUCAUUGACCAGUUGAAGUCAAACUACUAUCUAUCUAUAUGAGCGUCCAUGUAGCGGCUAGUUAUCGAAGACUGAAAGGAGGAAAACCUCAAUAAGCGACCAACCUCUUUAGUGACCACUGAAUAUCUAGAAGGUGACCGCUUACUAGAAACUGAGUAUACAGGUUUGGGUCGAGCUACUGUUUCGGACCGUCUGAUCGGAACUAACAGGUGUAGAUUAUAUAUGUUGAAGUUACACAAGGUUUCCAGGCCUGUUUCAUUUCAAGCAAAGGGUCAAAACCUGGCUUUUUCAACAAGCAUUUUAUUAGUAGUUUUAUUCAGAUAUCUAUGUUUUUACUUUUCAACAAACUUUAAUAAUCCUUAUUAUUAUGUAUAAAAGCCAAUUAAUGUUGAAAGUUAUUUCAAUCAUUGAUUCAUAAUUUUAUGUAAAAAAGAUGUCUAUCAAAUA